Molecule: ribosomal RNA, 497 nt
Filed under: uncultured bacterium
Lineage: Bacteria
Description: partial 16S ribosomal RNA
Rfam family: Bacterial small subunit ribosomal RNA
Source: RNAcentral
GACGAACGCUGGCGGCGUGCCUAAUACAUGCAAGUAGAACGCUGAAGAGAGGAGCUUGCUCUUCUUGGAUGAGUUGCGAACGGGUGAGUAACGCGUAGGUAACCUGCCUUGUAGCGGGGGAUAACUAUUGGAAACGAUAGCUAAUACCGCAUAACAAUGGAUGACACAUGUCAUUUAUUUGAAAGGGGCAAUUGCUCCACUACAAGAUGGACCUGCGUUGUAUUAGCUAGUAGGUGAGGUAAUGGCUCACCUAGGCGACGAUACAUAGCCGACCUGAGAGGGUGAUCGGUCACACUGGGACUGAGACACGGCCCAGACUCCUACGGGAGGCAGCAGUAGGGAAUCUUCGGCAAUGGGGGCAACCCUGACCGAGCAACGCCGCGUGAGUGAAGAAGGUUUUCGGAUCGUAAAGCUCUGUUGUAAGUCAAGAACGGGUGUGAGAGUGGAAAGUUCACACUGUGACGGUAGCUUACCAGAAAGGGACGGCUAACUACGUG